Mercurialis annua (annual mercury) is the source of this 3676-nucleotide RNA transcript. It is a transcript of the gene named bifunctional dihydrofolate reductase-thymidylate synthase-like, with no coding region annotated. Lineage: Eukaryota; Viridiplantae; Streptophyta; Magnoliopsida; Malpighiales; Euphorbiaceae. The transcript is spliced from 8 exons. The record is from RefSeq and is a predicted model, not a curated record.
CUUUUUUUUUUUUUAAUGAAGAGUUAUAUAAAAAAUGAUUGAUUGAUUCAGCUGAGCAAAACUAAACGCUCCUUUGUCACCUUUAUUUUCCCUCCAAUUCUGUUCUCCUUCCCGUCAAACGAACAAGGCUUCCAAUCUCUGCCGCCAAACCAUAACCGCUCUCCUUUGCACUGAGAUCGCAAUUCCAUUUAGGUUUAGGUUUUAGUGAAAUGAGCCCCCUGCAAUUUAUGUUUUGGUUUUCAAUCUCUCUUUAUCUUGAUUCAUCUACACAUUCUCUUCCACAUGCACUUAGUUAUUUGAAUUUUAUAUGUUACAUUGUUGAAUAUUAGUGUUGUCGUUUUUUUAUAGUUAUCUUCAACUAUUAUACUGAUAUUUGUAUAUUCAAGCUAUCAAGUAAUUUUUUUUUGGGCACCGAUUCAUUGUAGUGCGUUCUUCGUAAUGUAUGUUUACUGUUGUAGUGUUGUGCAUAUUGCCUGAAAGGCAUUUCUGAUUACACAAGUUACAAGAUCAUUGUCUUUUUUCCUUGAUCAUGAAAAGUCUCUGGUUUUGUUUUUUAAAUUUAGUUUUUAUUGUGCUACGUUUUGUAUUUAAUUUUCUUCGAUUGUAAUUUUGUUAUCAGGAGGAGAUUUUUGACCUGUUUGACGCAGACGCACGGACUGAUUUAGCUUGCUUUUAGCAGAUGUGGAGAUACUGCACUUAUUGGCAUCUGCAUUUUUCAAAGGUUUUACACAGCUCUUGUAAGAAUAGCUUCUGCUAUCCUUCUUAUGCGUCUGUAACAGCUCUCCUUCUAUGGGAAGAAUCUUGCAUACCUUUCAGGCUAUGGAUCUUACAGAAGAUUUUUAUGUCUGCUGUACGAUGAAUUUUCAUCGUGCUGAUACCAAAAAUGUCUCUUGACACAGGGAGGAGUUAUGAAGUUGUGAUUGCUGCUACUCGUGAUAUAGGAAUUGGAAAGGAUGGGAAGUUGCCAUGGAGAUUGGCAUCCAAUCUCAGUUUUUCAAGGAGCAUACAUUGGCAGAAGCACCUUACAGAAUCUCAAUUGAGAAGGUGUUUCUGAUAGGGGGUGGUUAGAUAUUGUAGUAAUUUCACCUUGAUAAACAAAUUACAUGGCAGUAAUACAUGAUCAUGUGAAUUUUUAGUACAGGGAAACAAUUAAUGCACCAGGGUGUGAUGCCAUUCACAUUACUGAAAUUGAAACAGCCAUUGAAUGUGACACCUUCAUUCCAGUGGUUGAUUUUUUUUUUGUUUCAUUCAUGGCAUUCAUUUAUACCGACAGUGGAAAACAAUAUCCGGUGUUUUUUUGUGACAUAUGUUCGUGUUAGAAGUUUAGAAAAUGGUGCUCAAAGUGCUCCAGAAAAGUCAAAUGGUAAUUUGAAUUCCAACAAAUUACAAAAGAAGAAUUUUACUUUUCUGCCAAAAUGUAUUUUUGAGAAGCACGAUGAGUAUAUCAACCCGCACCUAAAAAGAUGACAGACCAGGGACUGGUACCCUAUCAAAACUUGGUUGUCAGGUUCUGUUUGUCUUUCUAUGUAUCUAUCUGCUCUGUUCUGCUUUUUCAAGCCAAUGUUGUAUAUAUGUUCUGGCAUGUCAACGAAAGACAUUUUUGUGUUGCACUAUUUGAGAUUUGCAGAUGCAGUUCAAUAUCUGCAGAUCUUUUCGACUUCCUACAGCAAAGCAUGAGAUAUUUUCAUCUGCUUUAUGCUAUUCAUGGCUGUUAUUUUCUAAUUUGGACAGAGAGUGUUUUGGAGGGGAAUUUUUGAAAACUUUUUUGGUUACAAGUGGUUCAACAAAUGCAAAGUGUUGGAGAAGAGGGUGACCUAGGAUCCAUAAAUGGCUUCCACACUCCAGUCAAGAUAUUUUGGUGCUAAGUGAUUUAACAUCUCCCUAGGUUCAAUCUGCUGGCGGAUGUUAUUGGCAAGAUAAGGAGUAAACCAGAUGACAGGCACAUUAUCCUCACAGCAUGGAACCCAUCAGAUCUCAAAUUAAUGGCUCUUCCACGUAGUCACAUGUUUUCACAGUUCUAUGUGGCCAAUGGGGAGCUAUCCUUCAAAUGUAUCAGCACUCAUGAGAAAAUUGAUCUGAAAAUGUCACUGUAGCUCUUUGAAAUACAUUACAGGUCUUACUUUAUUUUGGAGGAACUUGAUUAAGCCUUGAAGUUUGAUGCUCCUCAAUAUGCAAAUAAUUAGAUGCAAGUGUCUUGAAACCAUCAAAACUGCAAUAAGACAGAUGCAGAUGUAUAUCCAUCCGACCUGGUCUCAACAAUACCGGGUCGAGCUGAUCUUUGUAAUUCGUUGUAAACACCAGAAUUCUUUCAUCUCCGCAACUCGACCACAAGCCAUCAAUGAAAUUCAGAAGGCCAGAGAGCGUGACCUGCAAAAUCAAAUGGUAUGUUUACCAAAUUUUAGCUUACUUAAAAUGCCAUACAGUGCUUUAGGUAGAUCUCUAUGUACAGGGAAACAAAAACAUAGAAAUGAAAAAUACUGAAAUGAAACCAAACAAUUGUUUUUACAAAAUUAGGCUAUAAAUAUAAAACAAGUUGAAGCUUUAGAAAUGUUUUUGGAAAUAAAUAUAAAAUUUUGAAAUUUGAGAAAUAUUUUCAGAAACGGAAAUGAAAAUAUCAAAAUGUAGGAGUCCACAAGGUUUUUUUUAUGAAAGAGUUACUUUAUCAUCUUCCUUAGACUCGAAAGAACGAUCAAUAUCUUCGACAACUAAAAUGGACCGGUUUCCUGUACCGAUCAGCAAUCUCCUCAAAUCUGAAUUGCAUUGAACCUCCUUUAAAUCCAAAUCAUAAACAUCAAACUUAAGGUAAUUAGCCAUGGCAGCAACCAAGCUUGAUUUUCCAGUGCCAGGUGGCCCAUAUAACAAAUAUCCACGUUUCCAAGCCUUGCCUACCCUUCUGUAGAACUCUUUCCUUGAAAUAAAUUGAUCAAGAUCCUUAAUUAACAUCUCCUUCAUCUCUGGAUCCAUUGCUAUUGUAUCAAAAUUUGCAGGAUGAUCAAAACUGAUGGAUCCCCAAUAAUCAGUACCGUUAUAGUCAAUUGUGUGUAAUUUCAAUGUCUUCUUCUCUUCUCUUAUUGCUUUGGCUUUCUGAAGAAUGUAGGGCAAAUAACUACUCAACACCAUGUUUCUAUGUUUCUUGUGAAAACUGAGUUCAAAAUACCGUAAUUCAGAUUUCGAAAAGGCACCACCAUUGCUCUUUUUGUUUGAAGGAAGAUGGUUUUCGAUGUGCGAUGAGGCUAAAAUCCACCUCAAUUUUACUCCUUUAAACACAUCCACAAGUUCUUGAUCCGUGUCAAUAGUCACUGCUAAUUCCUUCUCCUUCUCUGGCUUGUUUACUUUAAUUCUCCUCUUGGAAGCCGAUAAAUUAGAGCCUAAAUAAACAUUAGCGGCGUGGAACAUUUGGUUGGAAGUAAGGCCAUCGAAUUCUUCGAUGACAACAGUGAGCUGAGAUGAGAAGAAGGUAGAUAUUUUUUUAGCAGUUGAAUUAAGGUAUUGAUGAAGAGCCUGUGGAAUGAGAUCUCUUGCUAUAGAAUGAACAACGAUUGUAGAAGCAGCAACAGAAGCCGCUGUUGAUAGGAUAGUUUCUGCUUUCGGUAGAGCUGUCAUGUUAUUCAUCUUAUACUUUGAGAUUUUGUUCAGCUAAAUUACAAAAGAGACUGUGAUGGGGUUUUUGUUUGAA